This is a long non-coding RNA of Cannabis sativa, 1695 nucleotides long. RefSeq lists it as uncharacterized. The transcript is spliced from 4 exons. Lineage: Eukaryota; Viridiplantae; Streptophyta; Magnoliopsida; Rosales; Cannabaceae. The record is from RefSeq and is a predicted model, not a curated record.
CAUGAUCCAAAACUCGGACCCAAACUUUUGGGCCUUCGGCCCGAUACCUCUGGAGCCCAUUUUUUGGGCUUAGGGCUUCGAUGUGUCCAAAAAAUGAAAAAAUUCAGAUGCGGCUGGCUGCGAUUAGGGUUUGGAGAAGAGGAAAUUCCGGUCGAUCUCGGAAUCGGAGAACGGUGUUUGUUUUCAGAUCCGUAUGCUGAAACGCUUGAUUUGAUGUUGAAAAUCGUUAUCUGUAUCUGGAAAGAUCAGAUUUUGGGUUUUUGUUUGGGUAGAUCGAAUUGGAUCUGUAGAGAUGGAGAGUGGGUUGAAACUGAGGAUUAUGAUGAAGAUCUCUUUGGUAAUUAUCCUCAUGUUACUCGAUCUGAUACUAUUGAUGGUUGUAAAUGAAGGAUUCGCCAAAAAAAGAAUAUAGACUUGAUUGUUGACUUGGUCGUUUUCAACUUUCCAGUCUGAGGUUAAAAAGUGAUAAUAAUUCAGCUGAAUUUGGAUCUGUAGCAUAGAUCAAAGCCAUGUAUAAUUGUGGUGUAAUAUAUGUAUUUGAAGUUAAACAUGGAUGAUCAGCAGCUGAUGGAUCUGGGUUUUUGGAGGUAUUAUGCUUCAUAAUUCAUAUUUAGUAUUAUACUCAUCAAUAUUUUGAAUUAUAUAUUAUGAGAUGUGGAUUUUAGACUGGUAACUGCUAAUAUAAACAUUUCAAAUUUAUAUUUUUGUAGACAAAAGUAUUAUGCUUGGAGAUUUGGGAUGAGAGUAAUUUGAGUGAGAGAAAUAGAGCUCAACAUAGAGAUUGAAAGGUGUUUCUGAGAAAAGAAUGAGGACCAUCAACUUUGCCGGGUGUAAUGGACCCCAUUGCCGUCUUCUGUUCAAAAUGUAAGGCAUACUCAUGAGGGUUGGUGUUACCCCUAAAAUCUUGCACCUUAGGCAUCAUGUAUUUAGACAAAGCCUCCACAUUGAUAAUAUUUCUGGUGUACACGAUAAUGUGCUUGCAGUGUUCACCAGAUCUUUGUGAUCCGAUCGGUUUUAACAUUCAUCUUGCUCUCCAUUGUGACUAUUUUCUCCAUCGUGGUCCUAUUCGUUCAGCUGGUGAUGAUUACUGUUCAGGUAGAUUCUGCCCACUUGAUCUUCCAGCCGUUAUUCCCUCGUGCAGUGAUCCAGGUUCAGUGCCUUCGAUAUGUCCUGCAGGGGUAACUGGAGGAACGACUGCCUCCUUAUAGGUUCUCGAAUUCAUUUUAGUGUAUUGGUUUCUUUUUAUUUGACAAAGUGAUUUAAUGUGGUAAGAUAAAAAAUUCACACUACACAUCAUUAUGAUAAUAGAAGCACAUGAUUGUAUCUAGAGUUAGGCCACUUUAGUACACUAUCACACAUAUUUACAUUGUGCUAAUCUCGUUCUCUCUCAUCGCUCACUGGUUUUUGUUUUCUCACUGAAGAAAGAAAAACCAUUUUCUCAAAUAUCAGUCCUAUGAUUUCUUCAUAAUUUUCGGAUAGAUCAGUAACUUCAACUGGGUAUGUAAGUUUCAUAGGUUCAUUCAUUUUUGUUGUUUCUUUUUUUCUCGAUCAGUUGGUGAUGUACUAUAGUGUGACAUAGUUCUAGAUAUAAUCACGUGCUUCCAUGAUCAUAAUGAUGUGUAGUGUGAAUUUAUAUCCCUCAUAAUGAUCAUUAAAAGAAACGAAUACAAUAAAAUAAUAAUUGGAGUUACCUCA